RNAcentral lists this ribosomal RNA (464 nucleotides) under uncultured bacterium. Its description in RNAcentral is "partial 16S ribosomal RNA". It matches the Rfam family "Bacterial small subunit ribosomal RNA", at positions 28 to 507 of the family's 1533-position model. The record is from RNAcentral.
GAUGAACGCUGGCGGCGUGCUUAACACAUGCAAGUCGAACGGAAAGGCUCCUGCUUGCAGGGGUACUCGAGUGGCGAACGGGUGAGUAACACGUGGGUGAUCUGCCCUGCACUUCGGGAUAAGCCUGGGAAACUGGGUCUAAUACCGGAUAGGACCACAUUUUGGAUGGUGUGGUGGAAAGUUUUUCGGUGUGGGAUGAGCUCGCGGCCUAUCAGCUUGUUGGUGGGGUAAUGGCCACCAAGGCGUCGACGGGUAGCCGGCCUGAGAGGGUGUACGGCCACAUUGGGACUGAGAUACGGCCCAGACUCCUACGGGAGGCAGCAGUGGGGAAUAUUGCACAAUGGGCGCAAGCCUGAUGCAGCGACGCCGCGUGGGGGAUGACGGCCUUCGGGUUGUAAACUCCUUUCGCUAGGGACGAAGCGCAAGUGACGGUACCUGGAGAAGAAGCACCGGCUAACUACGUG